CCUACGGGUGGCAGCAGUGAGGAAUAUUGGUCAAUGGACGGAACUCUGAAGCAGCCACGCCGCGUGCAGGCAGACGGCUCUAUGAGUUUUAAACUCUUUUUGUACAAAAGUAAACCUGAAUACGUGACUUCAGCUGCUAGUACUGUACGAAUAAGCAUCGGCUAACUACGUGCCAGCAGCCGCGGUAAUACGGAGGCGCCAAUCGUUAUCCGGAUUUAUUGGGUGUAAUGGGUGCGGAGGAGGAUUGAUAAGGUAGAGGUGAAAUGGCGGAGCUUAACUAUGGAACUGCCUUUAAUACUGUUGAUCUAGAGAGUAGGAGCGGUAGGUGGAAUGUAUGGUGUAGCGGUGAAAUGCUUAGAGAUUAUACAGAACACCGAUUGCGAAGGCAGCUUACCAAUCUAUAUCUGACGUUGAGGCACGAAAGCGUGGGGAGCAAACAGGAUUAGAUACCCGUGUAGUC
Molecule: ribosomal RNA, 460 nt
Filed under: uncultured bacterium
Lineage: Bacteria
Description: partial 16S ribosomal RNA
Rfam family: Bacterial small subunit ribosomal RNA
Source: RNAcentral